RNAcentral lists this ribosomal RNA (861 nucleotides) under Pedobacter sp. PA3. RNAcentral describes it as "bacterial SSU rRNA". It matches the Rfam family "Bacterial small subunit ribosomal RNA", at positions 49 to 911 of the family's 1533-position model. Lineage: Bacteria; Pseudomonadati; Bacteroidota; Sphingobacteriia; Sphingobacteriales; Sphingobacteriaceae. The record is from RNAcentral.
CUAUACAUGCAGUCGAACGAUACUUUCCAGCUUGCUGGGGAGGAAAGUGGCGCACGGGUGCGUAACGCGUAUGCAACCUACCUUAAUCAGGGGGAUAGCCCGAAGAAAUUCGGAUUAACACCGCAUAAAAACACAGGAUAGCAUUAUCCAAUGUUCAAAUAUUUAUAGGAUUAAGAUGGGCAUGCGUGUCAUUAGCUAGUUGGCGGGGUAACGGCCCACCAAGGCGACGAUGACUAGGGGAUCUGAGAGGAUGACCCCCCACACUGGUACUGAGACACGGACCAGACUCCUACGGGAGGCAGCAGUAAGGAAUAUUGGUCAAUGGAGGCAACUCUGAACCAGCCAUGCCGCGUGCAGGAAGACAGCCCUCUGGGUCGUAAACUGCUUUUAUUCGGGAAUAAACCUUAUUACGUGUAAUAAGCUGAAUGUACCGAAGGAAUAAGGAUCGGCUAACUCCGUGCCAGCAGCCGCGGUAAUACGGAGGAUCCAAGCGUUAUCCGGAUUUAUUGGGUUUAAAGGGUGCGUAGGCGGCUUAUUAAGUCAGGGGUGAAAGACGGUGGCUCAACCAUCGCAGUGCCCUUGAUACUGAUGAGCUUGAAUACACUAGAGGUAGGCGGAAUGUGACAAGUAGCGGUGAAAUGCAUAGAUAUGUCACAGAACACCGAUUGCGAAGGCAGCUUACUAUGGUGUGAUUGACGCUGAGGCACGAAAGCGUGGGGAUCAAACAGGAUUAGAUACCCUGGUAGUCCACGCCCUAAACGAUGAAUACUCGCUGUUAGCGAUAUACAGUUAGCGGCUAAGCGAAAGCGUUAAGUAUUCCACCUGGGGAGUACGCCCGCAAGGGUGAAACUCAAAUGAAAU